RNAcentral lists this ribosomal RNA (158 nucleotides) under Agonimia foliacea. Its description in RNAcentral is "5.8S ribosomal RNA". It matches the Rfam family "5.8S ribosomal RNA". From Rfam's summary of the family: 5.8S ribosomal RNA (5.8S rRNA) is a component of the large subunit of the eukaryotic ribosome. It is transcribed by RNA polymerase I as part of the 45S precursor that also contains 18S and 28S rRNA. Functionally, it is thought that 5.8S rRNA may be involved in ribosome translocation. The record is from RNAcentral. Lineage: Eukaryota; Fungi; Ascomycota; Eurotiomycetes; Verrucariales; Verrucariaceae.
AUACAACUUUCAACAACGGAUCUCUUGGCUCUCGCAUUGAUGAAGAACGCAGCGAAAUGCGAUAAGUAAUGUGAAUUGCAGAAUUCAGUGAAUCAUCGAAUUUUUGAACGCACCUUGCGCUCCUUGGUAUUCCGAGGAGCAUGCCUGUUUGAGUGUCA